This 321-nucleotide ribosomal RNA is filed under the name uncultured eukaryote. RNAcentral's name for it is "partial 18S ribosomal RNA". It matches the Rfam family "Eukaryotic small subunit ribosomal RNA", at positions 1470 to 1796 of the family's 1831-position model. The record is from RNAcentral.
CCCUUAGAUGUCCUGGGCCGCACGCGCGCUACACUGACAUGUUCAACAAGCCUCCUAGUUCGACAGGAUUUGGGAAAUCUUUGAACGCGUGUCGUGAUAGGGAUAGAUCAUUGCAAUUAUUGAUCUUGAACGAGGAAUUCCUAGUAAACGCGAGUCAUCAGCUCGCAUUGAUUACGUCCCUGCCCUUUGUACACACCGCCCGUCGCACCUACCGAUUGAAUGUUUCGGUGAAGAUUCCGGAUAGGACUUUUUUGAUUUAUUUCAAUUUUGUCUUAAAAGCUAUCUAAACCUCAACAUUUAGAGGAAGGUGAAGUCGUAACA